GCUGGGGUCCAGUCCGCCCUGAUGGGCGACUCAAAUUCGUAUAUU
This 45-nucleotide ribosomal RNA is filed under the name Chrysanthemum lavandulifolium. Its description in RNAcentral is "partial 28S ribosomal RNA". The record is from RNAcentral. Lineage: Eukaryota; Viridiplantae; Streptophyta; Magnoliopsida; Asterales; Asteraceae.